GGCCUCUCUCUGUGGGGCAAUUGAUCGUGAGGCUCCGUGAUGGAUUGCCACGCAGAGGGAGGCC
This 64-nucleotide microRNA precursor is filed under the name Myotis brandtii (Brandt's bat). Its description in RNAcentral is "mir-9242 microRNA precursor family". It matches the Rfam family "mir-9242 microRNA precursor family". Lineage: Eukaryota; Metazoa; Chordata; Mammalia; Chiroptera; Vespertilionidae. The record is from Rfam by way of RNAcentral.